This 463-nucleotide ribosomal RNA is filed under the name uncultured bacterium. RNAcentral describes it as "partial 16S ribosomal RNA". It matches the Rfam family "Bacterial small subunit ribosomal RNA", at positions 339 to 795 of the family's 1533-position model. The record is from RNAcentral.
CUACGGGGGGCACCAGUGGGGAAUAUUGGACAAUGGGGGAAACCCUGAUCCAGCAAUGCCGCGUGUGUGAAGAAGGCCUGCGGGUUGUAAAGCACUUUCGGUUGGGAGGACUGCUUAGCACUAAUAUUGUUGGAAGUUGACGUUACCUUCAGAAGAAGCACCGGCUAACUCCGUGCCAGCAGCCGCGGUAAUACGGAGGGUGCAAGCGUGAAUCGGAAUUACUGGGCGUAAAGCGCGCGUAGGCGGCUAGAUCAGUCGGGUGUGAAAGCCCCGGGCUUAACCUGGGAACUGCAUCCGAUACUGUCUAGCUUGAGUACAGGAGAGGAGAGUGGAAUUCCACAUGUAGCGGUGAAAUGCGUAGAUAUGUGGAGGAACACCAAUGGCGAAGGCAGCUCUCUGGCCUGAUACUGACGCUGAGGUGCGAAAGCGUGGGGAGCAAACAGGAUUAGAUACCCCAGUAGUC